AUUGAACGCUGGCGGCAGGCCUAACACAUGCAAGUCGAACGGUAACAGGAAGCAGCUUGCUGCUUUGCUGACGAGUGGCGGACGGGUGAGUAAUGUCUGGGAAACUGCCUGAUGGAGGGGGAUAACUACUGGAAACGGUAGCUAAUACCGCAUAACGUCGCAAGACCAAAGAGGGGGACCUUCGGGCCUCUUGCCAUCGGAUGUGCCCAGAUGGGAUUAGCUAGUAGGUGGGGUAACGGCUCACCUAGGCGACGAUCCCUAGCUGGUCUGAGAGGAUGACCAGCCACACUGGAACUGAGACACGGUCCAGACUCCUACGGGAGGCAGCAGUGGGGAAUAUUGCACAAUGGGCGCAAGCCUGAUGCAGCCAUGCCGCGUGUAUGAAGAAGGCCUUCGGGUUGUAAAGUACUUUCAGCGGGGAGGAAGGGAGUAAAGUUAAUACCUUUGCUCAUUGACGUUACCCUCAGAAGAAGCACCGGCUAACUCCGUG
RNAcentral lists this ribosomal RNA (490 nucleotides) under uncultured bacterium. RNAcentral describes it as "partial 16S ribosomal RNA". It matches the Rfam family "Bacterial small subunit ribosomal RNA", at positions 30 to 507 of the family's 1533-position model. The record is from RNAcentral.